Molecule: long non-coding RNA, 254 nt
Organism: Zonotrichia leucophrys gambelii
Lineage: Eukaryota; Metazoa; Chordata; Aves; Passeriformes; Passerellidae
Exons: 3
Source: RefSeq, a predicted model, not a curated record
UUUGGCUGUGCGGUGAAGAGAGAUGGAGUUUGUUGGCUGCGAGGAAGAAGGAGUCAGUGCUGCAAGGAGCUGUCCGUGAGAAAUCACUGAGAAGCACCUGCUAGGUCUGCCCCAGGGCUGAUGGCUGUGUUCAGACCCCAGCAACAAACUCUGAAGAGAAAUUGUGUCCAUCCAAGCAGUUCCCAGCUGCAGGGAGAUGCUGUGCUAACUGUGUGACAUGGGCUGGUGACAGAUGCUGCCACACUUCACUGGAG